This 371-nucleotide long non-coding RNA is filed under the name Elaeis guineensis (African oil palm). Its description in RNAcentral is "long non-coding RNA (EGUI_LNC039012)". Lineage: Eukaryota; Viridiplantae; Streptophyta; Magnoliopsida; Arecales; Arecaceae. The record is from RNAcentral.
CCAUGGCACGGGCUUAUUGAAAUCAAGCAUGGAUCAAAAACUUAUAUCAACGAGCCAUUUGUACUAGCUGCACUAGCUGCUCAAGUGUAUUAUACUCCUUUUCGAUCAAGAAAAAGAGUAAGAAAAGAUUGACAGACUAUAUGCAAAAUUAAAUCUCGAGCCGUUCGUUACGCACUUGAAGAAAAAGAAGAGCCCUAAUUACCAGAAUGCUUUCAAGAGGAUGAGACAGUAGGAGUUCAUCAAUCCUUCGAUGAUGUGGAAAUGGAUGCUCCAGAAAUUUUCUUACGUGAAGAUGGUCAACAUGAGGAGGUAGAUCCAACUGAGAUAAUUUUAAAGGAUAAUUCUCCCCAAGAAGGGGAAGAAGAGGAAGA